Molecule: ribosomal RNA, 484 nt
Filed under: uncultured bacterium
Lineage: Bacteria
Description: partial 16S ribosomal RNA
Rfam family: Bacterial small subunit ribosomal RNA
Source: RNAcentral
AUUGAACGCUGGCGGCAGGCCUAACACAUGCAAGUCGAGCGGAUGAAGGGAGCUUGCUCCUGGAUUCAGCGGCGGACGGGUGAGUAAUGCCUAGGAAUCUGCCUGGUAGUGGGGGAUAACGUCCGGAAACGGGCGCUAAUACCGCAUACGUCCUGAGGGAGAAAGUGGGGGAUCUUCGGACCUCACGCGAUCAGAUGAGCCUAGGUCGGAUUAGCUAGUUGGUGGGGUAAAGGCCUACCAAGGCGACGAUCCGUAACUGGUCUGAGAGGAUGAUCAGUCACACUGGAACUGAGACACGGUCCAGACUCCUACGGGAGGCAGCAGUGGGGAAUAUUGGACAAUGGGCGAAAGCCUGAUCCAGCCAUGCCGCGUGUGUGAAGAAGGUCUUCGGAUUGUAAAGCACUUUAAGUUGGGAUGAAGGGCAGUAAGUUAAUACCUUGCUGUUUUGACGUUACCAACAGAAUAAGCACCGGCUAACUUCGUG